This 246-nucleotide ribosomal RNA is filed under the name uncultured bacterium. RNAcentral describes it as "partial small subunit ribosomal RNA". It matches the Rfam family "Bacterial small subunit ribosomal RNA", at positions 26 to 286 of the family's 1533-position model. The record is from RNAcentral.
AGAAUCAACGCUGGCGGCGUGCCUAACACAUGCAAGUCGAACGGGAAAGUGGAGCAAUCCAUGAGUAAAGUGGCGCACGGGUGAGUAACACGUGACUAACCUACCCUUGAGUGGGGAAUAACUUCGGGAAACCGAGGCUAAUACCGCAUAACACCUACGGGUCAAAGGAGCAAUUCGCUUAAGGAGGGGGUCGCGGCAGAUUAGUUAGUUGGUAGGGUAAUGGCCUACCAAGACGGUGAUCUGUAU